This is a long non-coding RNA of Limulus polyphemus (Atlantic horseshoe crab), 414 nucleotides long. RefSeq lists it as uncharacterized. NCBI's taxonomy places the organism in Eukaryota, Metazoa, Arthropoda, Merostomata, Xiphosura, Limulidae. The transcript is spliced from 3 exons. The record is from RefSeq and is a predicted model, not a curated record.
AUAGACCUCUUUACCGGAGGGCUUGUGGAGACUCCUCUUAACGGUGGGCUGGUGGGCCCAACUUUUGGUUGUAUCAUUGGGCUUCAGUUUAAUAUUCUGCGACACAGUGACCGAUUCUGGUAUGAAACUGACGAGCCACUCGUCCGAUUUACUGAAGACCAGCUGGAAGACAUCAGAAGAGUGACGUUGGCCAAGAUUAUUUGUGAUAAUUCUGAUACUAUUGACGUCAUCCAACGCUGGGCAUUCGAUCUUCCUGAUCAAUUUUUAAACCCCAGGGUUCUCUGCAAGACCCUGUCGGGCUUGAACCUGGACAAUUGGAAAGAACAAUCUUCUUGUAGUGUGGGAAACAUCCGACUUCGUCUUGGGAACCCGUGACCGCGUUUCUCCGUGUAAGAUGUGUUCCUGUACGACAGA